AGGAAUAUUGGUCAAUGGGCGAGAGCCUGAACCAGCCAAGUAGCGUGAAGGAUGAAGGUCCUACGGAUUGUAAACUUCUUUUAUACGGGAAUAAAGUUUCCUACGUGUAGGAUUUUGUAUGUACCGUAUGAAUAAGCAUCGGCUAACUCCGUGCCAGCAGCCGCGGUAAUACGGAGGAUGCGAGCGUUAUCCGGAUUUAUUGGGUUUAAAGGGAGCGCAGACGGGAGAUUAAGUCAGUUGUGAAAGUUUGCGGCUCAACCGUAAAAUUGCAGUUGAUACUGGUUUCCUUGAGUGCAGUUGAGGCAGGCGGAAUUCGUGGUGUAGCGGUGAAAUGCUUAGAUAUCACGAAGAACCCCGAUUGCGAAGGCAGCUUGCUAAACUGUAACUGACGUUCAUGCUCGAAAGUGUGGGUAUCAAACAGGAUUAGAUACCCUGGUAGUCCACACGGUAAACGAUGGAUACUCGCUGUUGGCGAUAUACUGUCAGCGGCCAAGCGAAAGCAUUAAGUAUCCCACCUGGGGAGUACGCCGGCAACGGUGAAACUCAAAGGAAUUGACGGGGGCCCGCACAAGCGGAGGAACAUGUGGUUUAAUUCGAUGAUACGCGAGGAACCUUACCCGGGCUUAAAUUGCAGACGAAUUACGAGGAAACUUGUAAGCCGCAAGGCGUCUGUGAAGGUGCUGCAUGGUUGUCGUCAGCUCGUGCCGUGAGGUGUCGGCUUAAGUGCUAUAACGAGCGCAACCCUCGUGGUCAGUUACUAACAGGUAACGCUGAGGACUCUGGCCAGACUGCCAUCGUAAGAUGUGAGGAAGGUGGGGAUGACGUCAAAUCAGCACGGCCCUUACGUCCGGGGCUACACACGUGUUACAAUGGGAGGUACAGAAGGCAGCUACCCGGCGACGGGAUGCCAAUCCCCAAAACCUCUCUCAGUUCGGACUGGAGUCUGCAACCCGACUCCACGAAGCUGGAUUCGCUAGUAAUCGCGCAUCAGCCACGGCGCGGUGAAUACGUUCCCG
RNAcentral lists this ribosomal RNA (1016 nucleotides) under uncultured bacterium. RNAcentral describes it as "bacterial SSU rRNA". It matches the Rfam family "Bacterial small subunit ribosomal RNA", at positions 357 to 1376 of the family's 1533-position model. The record is from RNAcentral.